This is a long non-coding RNA of Mus musculus (house mouse), 1333 nucleotides long. RefSeq annotates it as RIKEN cDNA 1500011B03 gene. The record is from RefSeq and is marked validated. NCBI's taxonomy places the organism in Eukaryota, Metazoa, Chordata, Mammalia, Rodentia, Muridae. The transcript has 2 exons.
GUCUAGGGGCGGGGCUUAAGGCGGAAGCGGCGUCCCCGCGCUCCGUGCAGUGCGGGUUUCAGUGAUGCUGCGCUCAGGAUGGAUGCGGCUGUUGCCCAUGCUCUGCAGCCUCCUGCUAGGGCGAGCCGAGGCCCCGAGCCCGGGGGUGCCGCCGGAGCAAAGCCAGCCCUACGCGGUGUUGCGGAGGCAGAGCCUGGUGCUGAUGGGAACCAUCUUUAGCAUCCUGCUGGUGACUGUCCUCCUUAUGGCAUUCUGUGUCUACAAGCCCAUCCGUCGGCGGUGAUGGCCACACGGGGAAGCGCUGCUCCAAGUCUCCGGGACAGAAGUCGUGUUGCACGCAGGCUACUGAAGAUGGUGGAAUCAGAACUGGGCAGGCAGUAAAUGCUACAGGGUUAGGAAAGUGCCCAGUGGGGAUUGUUUUCAGUUAUUGGCUACUGAUUCGGUGUCUCUUUUUGCUUGGCUGUGCUGGUUAAAAGUUGGAGGCUCCAAGGGCCCUUGUAAAGACAUGUCCAUUGCGAAGUGACCAGAAGAGCUACCCCGAGGACUAAUCGCUAAUGCUUGGGAUAGAAGAGGAAGACCUAAGCAUGCAGACCUCCCCUGCUUUCUGCCUUUCUGUCACAGUGUGUUCAUCAUACUCAAGGGCCAGCAAGAUGAUCCAGCGGGUACAGGCACUUACUACUGAGGCCAAUUUUGAUUCCUGGGUGGAACCUGGAGGGAGAGAAACCCCCCUCCCACCCCCAUGGGUUGUUCCUUGACCUCUGCACAGGAAUAAGUAACUAUAAAAAUACACACCACAUCUCACUCCACUGAGUUGCCCUCGAAUACCCUGGCUGCAAAGCUGGGGAACUUAGCCAUCAUUCCUUGCUGCGUUGGUACUGAGCCAAUCAGUGUCGCAUCCUAGGUCUGUGAGAUAGUGUCACACGCCCCCACCCUCACCCUGCACCUCCCACCUCGGCCUGGAAGGUUCUGGGUGGCUCAGACAUAUAGAUAUCCUCAUGGUGACGGGUGGCAACCUGAGACUUAGGACUUAGUCUCCCUUUCUCCCUAGGUGUAGAGGGUUCAGCCGUGUGCACCCCCCCCCCUUCCAAGCUGCUGUGUUGACGAGACUGCCUGUCUGCCUUUCAGGUGCUGCUACUGAACUAGAUUUCCCUGUUGUUACAGAGGUUAUUAGUAUUUAUUUUAAUUUUGCUAUAAUGUUGUUAUGCUUUACUGUGUAUUCUUUUUGUGUUUUAACUUAACAGCCUGCACUAAUGUGAAUACCACCCAACUGUGGGGGUCACAUCUGGAACCUUGUAACCCUGAGCCAUUAAAUGUCAGUUAAAUGGAAGAGAGA